GAGGGUGUUGAUCAGCAGAUCAGGACUGUAACUCACCAUAGUGGUGGACUGCCCUGAUCUGGAGACCACUGCCUU
Molecule: microRNA precursor, 75 nt
Organism: Cercocebus atys (sooty mangabey)
Lineage: Eukaryota; Metazoa; Chordata; Mammalia; Primates; Cercopithecidae
Product: microRNA 1288
Source: Ensembl